Columba livia (rock pigeon) is the source of this 6041-nucleotide long non-coding RNA. RefSeq lists it as uncharacterized. NCBI's taxonomy places the organism in Eukaryota, Metazoa, Chordata, Aves, Columbiformes, Columbidae. The transcript is spliced from 4 exons. The record is from RefSeq and is a predicted model, not a curated record.
AUGAAAGGGAGUCUCUGUUUUGAAUAUUUGUCUGUGUCUAUAUAUUACUACCAUUUUUAAAGCCAAAUCAUUACUUCGGCAACUGAGAUUUCAUCCCAGCCUCCAAGGUGCAGUCACUUCUAAACAUCAAGGUGUGUCCAAGGUACCACCAGUUACCAAUGCAAGAAACCAUGGACAGAUUUUCUUGGUGUGGGCACACACAUUUAAGCCACACUCCUUUGCAGCACUUCAGGCCAUGCAUAACUUUAAGUAGGCGGGAAUUUAAAACUGAAGACCACUUAGGACUACUGCUUUGAUCACUGUGAGCAUGAAAUCUGGUUAAAUGGGCUAUGUGGAAAACCUGUUGGCUGGAGCCAUCAAACCAUGUAACGUGAACCCUGCCCUCUGAGAAAUUUGGUCUUGGAAAAGGUGCCUGCGUAGCUAACCUGCUAUUGUGAUGGCACCACUUUUCACGCCACAAUCUGUUUGCAGGGUGACUACAGAGCUCAUAUUUGAAAUCACACUCCUUUCUUUUGCAAUGCUUAGAGUUAUUUUUUUCCUUUCCAAAACCCAGUUCUCAGAAUAGAAACAUAAAUAAGUAUGACUGAAGCUGACAAGCACCAGCACUUUGGAUUUUUGUUUGCUUUCUCAUACACAAAGACACCACUUUGCAAAUUCCAAAGAUUUGCAAACGUUUCCUGAUGAAUCAUCCCUACCCAGAAGAAUACAAUUUUUCAAAGUGUUUUCUAUAGCAGCAUAGUUGCCAGUUCACUUGUUAGAUAUUUUCCUACAUACACAAGCUUUUUCAAAAGAUAUAUUCUAGCACAUCAUAUUUAAAAUGAAAUAAAAAAAUAGUUUAUUAAAUUUGUAGGCUUUCAGGUCAGAAAGGGCUACUAUAAUAAUGAAGAUUAACCUGUGACAUGAACUUAUCUACCCAUAUAACAUGCAGAGAUUGCUGAGUUAGAUGAGAAAAACUCUUCCCACCUGCGAAAAGAAAAAAAAAAAAUGAAAUUUAGUAACUUGUCAGUAUGGUAUAACUCAUAAGAAAGAAGCAAUCUUGAAUUUAGAGAAUAAAAUUAUAGGACAUACAUUAACUAUUUGCAAAUAACUUUAUUUCAAUAAUUCAAACUAAAAUAAAUUCCCAACAAAAUGACAAAUUUCAGGCCAAAUUCCAUUUUAUAUUCCCAUUUUACUUCCAAUUUGAUAACAUCAUAAUUUCAGUAUCCAGUUUACUGUGCCCUUUUUUUUGUCUGCUGAACUACCAUAAUAUUUAUGGACUAACAAAAAACAAAACAAAACAAAACCACAAACAAACAAACAAACAAACAAAAAAAAAAGUCUUUUCAAAUUAUUUCAAAGAACACAGUCCCUCACAGUACACAUCCCAGUUCUGUAAAACAAUUAAUAUAAACCAAAGACACAAACAGGUGUGCCUGAUUACUAAAUUCUAUUUUGAAAAAGACACUGGAAAUCUGAGUUUAUUUUAGAACUGAUUUUGCUAACAAAUGAUUUUAUAAGUGUAUUCAUUUCUAGGGAGCAUUCCCUGUGCUUUGCUUCUAAACAGAACUAAAGCCAUGCAACAAAGAGCAAAAGAUCAUCGACCUCCUGACAUAAAUUACUUUGCUGACAAUUCUCUUAGUGUAUGUUUUCACAUUUGUCUGGCUGCUCUGACAAGACGAAUUGUCUUGUAGAACCAAAUUAAUACACAGGGAGGCUUUGCCACUAAAGAAAUACAAGCUGGUUUCUUUUAUUACGACUGGCAAGAGAUCUGCAUUUGCAGUACAAACAACUACAGUGUCCUCUGAGCUAAUAUUCUUGUGGCACAUGGCUAACUCUUAGUAACCUGGAUCCUGAAACUGGGGCAAGGCAUUUAUUUAAAUCCUCAGGGAAGAAACUACUUUAAAUCCAGGUGCUUAAUGGUAGAACCAUGUGUAAACAGGAAUGCACCACAUACAUUCAUCCUGCUAUUAAAGCAACACAUUAAAAGGAAAGGAAUGAGGAAAGAAAGUCAUAAGAAACCUCAAGAAUUUUCAUCUUACUAAAAAUUCAAAUGUUGUGGAUGAUGUUACAUACAACGAGAAUUUUACCCUUGAAUCCAAGUAGACGCUAAAACACUUCUCAGGGGAGAAGCUGAACUCAGAUCCUGAUGUUAAGAAGCCAGAAUAAAACAAACAAUCUACCUCCACUCUGACCCUGGCUCAGAAGGGAUGUAAACACAUGCUACACUCUCCCUGGGUGCACUCAGUGCCUUUGCUGCAUGCUUUCCUGCCAGCUCCUGCAGAGAAACACACAGGCAGAAAGUCAGAAACCACAGAAUAACACGCCUGGAGCAGAGCUGGCUUCCCUGCAAUCAGAUGGGAAGAAGGGUGUUCCUACUGGCCCUCUUCCUCAGACAAACACAUUUUGGUCACUUCUGCCUCUGUAUUACACUCCUUCCUUUGCAACCAUCUGACAGGUUGGAGGGGUGCAUCUGGCAGUCAGACCCUAAGAAUAUAAUAUGAAAGUUCCAGACAAAUGCAGAUUUCCCAGCUGGAGAAGACCUGAACCAUUUGGCACCUGGUCUCUUGGCAAUGACAGGACCAAGAAAGCUCUCAGACUCACUACCUUUGUUUCACAGGCUCAUGCUUUUUAGCAUCUGAAGAGGACUGGAACUAAUUCUUAAGGACAGCAAGCAAAAGUUUAAUCAGAUAAUUGUGAUAAUGUUAUCAGCCUCUAAUUGGUUCCAUAGAAGAAAAUGUAAUUAACCCACUUAGCCCCAAGAACCCACUAGCUGUUGAUAGGCUGACAUUUCCAAGAAGCCCAAAUGUUUGAGACAACCUUGUCACAGGACUGUUUGUGAUUUACACCCAGUGAUAUCAGGUGGUGAAUGGUAAUGAAAGGGAGAAUGGGGAAAAAUGUCUGAAUGAAGCACACUAGCAGGACCCACAGUCCACAGAAUGAUUCUGGCUCUGCGGGAGAGCUGGUCUCACUUUAAGCCUCAGCAAAUGAGUUUUGUUUCAGAGAAAAAGAGAUGCAAGAUUGGUGUCAGUUCUAGAAAUUUGAGUAAAAUUGCACCAAUUUACAGUUGUGCUAAACUGGUCUACAUUAAACACUUGCACUUAGAGACUAGGGAUACAAAGAAAAAAAAAAUCUUGAGUGUGGGAGAUGGAAGCCCAGCCAUCUAAGUGCACGUGUAUCAGGAGAUGAGUAGAGAAAUGUCACCAUGAAAAGAACCAAUUAUGUUUCAAUGUCUGUUUCUACCAGAAAAGCUCCUGUUUGACUGCCAGUGGCAUUUUAUGUCUUUCCAAGGCACAUUUAGGAUGGAAGUGACAUCAACUUGCCUGAGAGAGCUUUCUAAGUCCUCCUCCAUUUAGUGGCACUCAGCAGUACAUAUUAGGAAAACUGAAUCAGAGGAAAACUUACUCAUCAUCAACAAAACAUCAGGUUUCCAGAUGCACCAGGAGGUGUGACCUGCACUGUUUUCCACAGCCUUUUGCCCAACCUGCUUCCACAUCAGAGGCCCGCAGAAACUACAAAAAGAUAAGACAUCAUUGAGACAAGGAAUGCUGUCUUAUGCAGUGCCCCCGUCCAUCACAUGCCAGAGACUGAACUCUCCUCUCCCAGGGCGGUACAUCUCCUGAUAUAGGGUGCUAUGGGUGAUACAGAUCUCCUUUUCCCAUGAGUUUUGGGUUAGGCAGACCUCCAACUGGUACGUUUUUCCCGCAGCUGUAGCGAUGCUUUGCAACACAGCAGCUCUGACUCCAAGUGAUCACAGCUGGCACAUCUCUUUGAGCUGAAUUGGUGAAAUACAGAGUAAAUGACAGGUUUCUUCAAUGCAGCUCUUAGAAAGAACUUAUGGAGAUUAUUAUGAAGGAGCUGUGAAGACAUCACUGGAAUCUGCUUGUGGAGCUGACAACCGAGAGAUAGCUUUCUUUGAUAACUUUUAAUCACUGUGUUUUCUACUUAUGCAAAUUGUAAUAAUACCCUUGAUGCUCUGUAUUUCUAUAGCAUUCAGGCUUAUGGCAGUGACAUGAAGAUUCAGAGCUGGUUGCUCGUCUGUCACUAGCUUGUUUCUGCAUCGAAGAUGUAUUACAUUUGGCAGUGACAUACAUCAUUGAUUCAUGUAAUACCUGUGACAUUAGAACACACAUUCAGAAAGAAACAUCUCACAAAAUGCCACUUCGGCAGACUUCAUCCAAGUUUCGUCAUGGUUUAGGGUUUGCUUGCACUGCAAACUGCAGGUAAGCCCCUGCCAUGAGGGAAAAUUAAAAUAAAUAAAUAAAUAAAUAAAAAGGCCUAAUUUAUCCUGCACCAAGCUUCAUGAACCUCAUUCUCACUAGAUGAUACAAUAGGUUUUAGAUGCCUAAAUUACCAUACUGGUUUUCAAAAGAGGAUUAUGACUCCUAAGUCACUUAGGCGGCUUUGAAAAUGCCAUCAAGGAUCUUUGCACAAACACAUAGCUUGGUGGGUAUCAUUACCUGCUACAAUAUAUUAUCAUGAGUGACAUGGAAAUUACCUAUCUAUUCCACUCUGAUUCUAACAUAGGAUUAGUCCUUAUGUUACAGCUACCAGUGGUUUGUCCAGUUCAGCUUUCCAUCGUUUCCUUUUAAAGAUGAUUUAAUAGGCCAAGGGACCAUAAUGCUGUCAGUAGCUGUGGUCCUAUUAGAUCAUGCUGCCAUUAAUUGAGACUUAAUACAUCCCCUUGCCUAGAAGAAUCUAUUGUGGGUAAUUUUGUCUUGUUAUUCAAUCUAAACUUUCCAUCUCAUUACUCGCAGCCUCACCUACUUCAGCCACCCUACAUGAUUACUUUGCCUGUUUUCAGCUAUGAUAAAGAUGUGGACUGUUAUCAUAUUACACCCUCUGCUCCUCUGGCUGUAAUUAAGUCAAGGUGCAAAUUGAAUUUGAUUACCCAAGGUCACAGGCUUUGCCUAAAAGAGAUGGUCAAAAGAGGGGAGGGAGCACUAUCAAGGCCAUGUUGUUAAUGAUGACCUGGACUCUGAAUAAAGUGAGUCCAGAAUCUGUAACAGAGUUUAAUUUAAUCUGCUGUGCUCUUUUUAUUUACACACCUAUUUUUUUUCCUAGUUAUUUGAACAGACACUAGAGCGUGUAUAUUCAGCGCUGAAGUUGCCUAUCCCACACAGACUUUACAAGGCUUUGGGAAACAUGAUAUAAAUUGUUUUGUUUUGUUCUGUUUUAUUUUUUUUUUUUCUGUUAUGACACAAGAGCUGUUAGUGUUAGCAGUGUGACAAGGAUAAAUAGGUCAAAUUUAAAUCAAGGUCCACACUCAAAGUGCGCUAAGCACUCAGGCAAGCUUCACAGUUCUACAUCCUGGUUUGGAGAAGUUUUAGUGGACCAGAGAGGGGCACACAUGCUGAAAUACUUGAAUGAGAUGUAUGAGAUCAAACGUCAGCAAAGAGGCAGAGCUAGGACUGAGCUCCUAGACUGAGUCCCUCAAAAUGGGAUGCACACAAUUUCAGAGCUCAGUUUCAUUACCCAUACAGAGAUGUUUGUUGCCAUCUGAGAGGUUGUUGAGCACCUCACCAGGUUUAUAUGUGUUUUUCCAGAAGGGCAAAAAUCCUGCAUAGCAUCCUUCAGGCCCCUGGAGAUAUCCCAGACACUCUAAACAGCAUUAGAAAUCCAUAUGUGGGUAACUGAAUUGCAAUCACUGUCAUGCUACUUUUACAAUAAUAAAUGCGCAGUCUGAAAUCUGUCUAUGCAAAUCCUUUUGUUGUUUGGGUCUUUCUAAAUUGUGGCAGGUAGGGGUUUUUAGCCAGAAUUUUCAUUCAGUGGAAAAUUCUGAAAUUUCUAGAAUUUCAAUUUUAAAUCAGAACAAAUUAAAAAACCACAACAUUUCUUCCAGAACAGGAAAUGUGUUCUCUUACCAGCUUUAUUGAGUGUAAAGGUACUGAUGGGUAGAGGAAACAUUAUACUUGACUCAAGAAAAAAUAACAAAAGUUCCAGAAUUAAAAUGUGAAAUUAAAGUAAGUGCUUUUGUUGUGUUCUUAUACACCACAGGUGCUCCUGUGAGAAUAAGAGUAAGUUUAGAACAAGAGGGAGAGCAGAUAAAGAAAUAAUAGAUAUUA